This 273-nucleotide ribosomal RNA is filed under the name uncultured bacterium. RNAcentral describes it as "partial 16S ribosomal RNA". It matches the Rfam family "Bacterial small subunit ribosomal RNA", at positions 524 to 796 of the family's 1533-position model. The record is from RNAcentral.
GACGGAGGGUGCAAGCGUUGUUCGGAAUUACUGGGCGUAAAGCGCGGGCAGGUGGUCUUUUAAGUCCCUUGUGAAAUCCCGGGGCUCAACUCCGGAUGUGCGUGGGAUACUGGAAGACUGGAGACUGGUAGAGGCGAGCGGAAUUCCUGGUGUAGCGGUGGAAUGCGUAGAUAUCAGGAAGAACACCGGUGGCGAAGGCGGCUCGCUGGGCCAGUUCUGACACUCAUCCGCGAAAGCGUGGGGAGCAAACAGGAUUAGAAACCCCUGUAGUCC